GCCGGGUGUCCUGCUGCGCUGCCCCCGCGGCGGGGCCGGGAAUAUCAGAAAGCCAAGAGAACAUGCUCCCAAAGAAACUGUUUGGAUUAUCUGGAGAAUAGGUGUCACAGGUUCAGAGAAAAAGGAAAAGUCACUGCAGUAACUAUUUUGAUGUCACCUUGCUUUGUAAUCCUUCCCCAUGUAAAUGAGGAGACAAGAUUUUAAUUCUGAAUGAGCCCAUCUAUUUUGAGAUUUCUUCUGCAGUAAAUGACUAGGGAUUCUAACAGCAAAGCUUCCUCCAUUGCAUACCGUCUUAAUCAUUUGCAGACCAGGUUUGUCCUCUAGAAUGAAUGAGGAAGAGGUGGUAAAGUAAUUAAGACUGGAUUUGUGUCUCAUUGCUGAUUGAAUUUUAGCUUAAUUAUACUAAGGCUGAAUGAAGUAUUAACUCAUUGUAAACAUUGGAGAUCGUUUCUUGGAGAGACAUGUUUGUGAGUGACCUAACUAGGAACACUUCACUCAGAGUUUGUAUUUCAUCACAUAAUUACACUUGCAAUUUUUGAUACUGACAGCAAGGAAUUGAGAAUAAAGAAGUCACUCUAAGGGAUUUAAUAAUAAUAUAUAAAGUUUAUUUUAUUUAAACUUUAUGAAGGUAGUGAGUAACUUUUCUUUGCUGCUGGGUGAAGGCUGUUUGCAGUGCAGAGGAAAGGAUCAGGGAGUUGGAAAGGGUUAUGAGAGAAAGUAACAAUGUAUUUGCAGUUAUAUUGUUUACAUGGGUUAUACUGACUUAAGCAGUUACCUGAGUUCAUGCUAAAUGAAGUAUCUUCUGCAAUCCAAACCUGAUGAGAAAUCAGAAAUAAAAUUUCUGAAAAUUAUGUUUGAUUUGAGAAAUAUAUUGUGUAUCAGAUAUUUGU
Gavia stellata (red-throated loon) is the source of this 890-nucleotide long non-coding RNA. RefSeq lists it as uncharacterized. The transcript is spliced from 3 exons. The record is from RefSeq and is a predicted model, not a curated record. Lineage: Eukaryota; Metazoa; Chordata; Aves; Gaviiformes; Gaviidae.